Molecule: long non-coding RNA, 325 nt
Organism: Saccostrea cuccullata (small rock oyster)
Lineage: Eukaryota; Metazoa; Mollusca; Bivalvia; Ostreida; Ostreidae
Exons: 3
Source: RefSeq, a predicted model, not a curated record
GCGAAAGGGUUCGCUGCACAACAAGAGAAAAUUACUAUUGCACAAAGUGUGAAGAAGAGAAUAAUACAGCACACUUAUCAAUUUAUUACCAUUCCGACGAUCACCAGACAUGUUAUGCAACAUGCUCAUGGAAACAGAAUUGGUGUUGGCCUGGUGAAUGUAAUAAGAAUCUGGCAAAAAACUGUAUUUGUAAGGAUGGCUUUUCUCUAUCAACUACAAACUCAAACAAAGUCUGUCAAUUGAACGUAAUUCCGACGCUGCUAACCUGUCGUUUGGGGAUCGAAAGCAUUGGAGGGGAAGUUCGAAAUUCAUCUUUAAAAGGACC